GGAAGGGUGGCCGAGUGGUUUAAGGCGGCGGUCUCGAAAACCGCUGUACGGGUUUCCCCGUACCGUGGGUUCGAAUCCCACCCCUUCCGCCA
RNAcentral lists this transfer RNA (92 nucleotides) under Acidobacteriota bacterium. Its description in RNAcentral is "Acidobacteria bacterium tRNA-Ser". It matches the Rfam family "tRNA". Rfam says of the family: Transfer RNA (tRNA) molecules are approximately 80 nucleotides in length. Lineage: Bacteria; Pseudomonadati; Acidobacteriota. The record is from RNAcentral.